AGUGGCAUAUAGAGAAGCGUAUCAAAAUUUUAAUGCAAGAGUUUGAAUAUCUGGAGAGAGAUGUUCAUGGGUCCAAUUGAACGUGGAUUAUGCUCUCAACAUGAGUCUCACAACCCUCAUUAGAUCACAUUCAACUCCACUGGAAGGAAGUUCGAUCUCUUCUUCACGGCAAAGCCAAUCCACAACCCAAGUUGUAAUUUUCUCGCAACUUCAUUUCUCAAGAAGAAGUCCAUGCGCCGCCAAGCGCUUUGGUAAGGAACCUGGUUAAAAAGAAUAAAAAUUUGGAAAUAGAUUUGAAGCAAAAGCUUUUCUCCAGACAUCUUUUUUU
RNAcentral lists this long non-coding RNA (328 nucleotides) under Phoenix dactylifera (date palm). RNAcentral describes it as "long non-coding RNA (PDAC_LNC015189)". Lineage: Eukaryota; Viridiplantae; Streptophyta; Magnoliopsida; Arecales; Arecaceae. The record is from RNAcentral.